Molecule: ribosomal RNA, 439 nt
Filed under: uncultured bacterium
Lineage: Bacteria
Description: partial 16S ribosomal RNA
Rfam family: Bacterial small subunit ribosomal RNA
Source: RNAcentral
CCUACGGGUAGCAGCAGUGGGGGAUAUUGCACAAUGGAGGAAACUCUGAUGCAGCGACGCCGCGUGAGGGAAGACGGUCUUCGGAUUGUAAAACUCUGUCUUUGGGGAAGAAAAUGACGGUACCCAAAGAGGAAGCUCCGGCUAACUACGUGCCAGCAGCCGCGGUAAUACGUAGGGGGCGAGCGUUUUCCGGAAUUACUGGGUGUAAAGGGGGCGUCGGCGGGGGGGAAGGUUGAAUGUUAAGUCUACAGGCUUAACUGGGAGCUGCGUUCACAACUGCUUGUCUUGAGUGAAGUAGAGGCAGGCGGAAUUCCUAGUGUAGCGGUGAAAUGCGUAGAUAUUAGGAGGAACACCAGUGGCGAAGGCGGCCUGCUGGGCUUUAACUGACGCUGAGGCUCGAAAGCGUGGGGAGCAAACAGGAUUAGAUACCCGUGUAGUC